RNAcentral lists this microRNA precursor (230 nucleotides) under Xyrichtys novacula (pearly razorfish). The record is from RNAcentral. Lineage: Eukaryota; Metazoa; Chordata; Actinopteri; Labriformes; Labridae.
AGAAAGUGAGGGGAGAGAGACAGAGAGAGACAGAGAGGGAUAGACGGAGAGAGAGAAAGAGAGAGACAGAGAGUUUUGGGAGGUCUGCUAGCUUGUUUUGGAGUCUAUUAUUUGUUUGAAUAGGAUGAAUGAUGACGAUGUUAAUAUGAAAUUUGGACGACUGAGCGCUCUGUCUGAUUUUGGUCUCUCUCUCUCUCUCUCUCUCUCUCUCUCUCUCUUUCUCUAUUUUU